RNAcentral lists this ribosomal RNA (468 nucleotides) under uncultured bacterium. RNAcentral describes it as "partial 16S ribosomal RNA". It matches the Rfam family "Bacterial small subunit ribosomal RNA", at positions 28 to 507 of the family's 1533-position model. The record is from RNAcentral.
GACGAACGCUGGCGGCGUGCUUAACACAUGCAAGUCGAACGGAAAGGCCCUGCUUUUGUGGGGUGCUCGAGUGGCGAACGGGAGAGUAACACGUGAGUAACCUGCCCUUGACUUUGGGAUAACUUCAGGAAACUGGGGCUAAUACCGGAUAGGAGCUCCUGCUGCAUGGUGGGGGUUGGAAAGUUUCGGCGGUUGGGGCUGGACUCGCGGCUUAUCAGCUUGUUGGUGGGGUAGUGGCUUACCAGGGCUUUGACGGGUAGCCGGCCUGAGAGGGUGACCGGCAACAUUGGGACUGAGAUACGGCCCAGACUCCUACGGGAGGCAGCAGUGGGGAAUAUUGCACAAUGGGCGGAAGCCUGAUGCAGUAACGCCGCGUGCGGGAUGAAGGCCUUUGGGUUGUAAACCGCUUUUGCCUGUGACGAAGCGUGAGUGACGGUAAUGGGUAAAGAAGCACCGGCUAACUACGUG